ACGGGGCGCAGCAGGCGCGAAACCUUUACACUGCACGCAAGUGCGAUAAGGGGACCCCAAGUGCGAGGGCAUAUAGUCCUCGCUUUUCUCGACCGUAAGGCGGUCGAGGAAUAAGAGCUGGGCAAGACCGGUGCCAGCCGCCGCGGUAAUACCGGCAGCUCAAGUGAUGACCGAUAUUAUUGGGCCUAAAGCGUCCGUAGCCGGCCACGAAGGUUCAUCGGGAAAUCCGCCAGCUCAACUGGCGGGCGUCCGGUGAAAACCACGUGGCUUGGGACCGGAAGGCUCGAGGGGUACGUCCGGGGUAGGAGUGAAAUCCCGUAAUCCUGGACGGACCACCGAUGGCGAAAGCACCUCGAGAAGACGGAUCCGACGGUGAGGGACGAAAGCUAGGGUCUCGAACCGGAUUAGAUACCCGGGUAGUCCUAGCUGUAAACGAUGCUCGCUAGGUGUGACACAGGCUACGAGCCUGUGUUGUGCCGUAGGGAAGCCGAGAAGCGAGCCGCCUGGGAAGUACGUCCGCAAGGAUGAAACUUAAAGGAAUUGGCGGG
This 548-nucleotide ribosomal RNA is filed under the name uncultured archaeon. RNAcentral's name for it is "bacterial SSU rRNA". It matches the Rfam family "Archaeal small subunit ribosomal RNA", at positions 325 to 872 of the family's 1478-position model. The record is from RNAcentral.